UUCGGCACACACAAGGCUACAGGCCCAGAUGGGAUCCACCCAAGGGUACUGAGGGAGCUGGUGGAAUUGCUCACUGAGCCACUUUCCACCAUUUAUCAGCAGUCCUGGUUACCAGGAAAGUCCCAGUAACUGGAGGUUAGCAAAUGUGACAUCCAUCUACAAGAAGGGCCAGAAGGAGGAUCGGGGGAGUUGCAGGCCUGUCAGUCUGACCUUGGUGCUAAGGAAGGUUAUGGAGCACAUCAUCUUGAGUACAACACACAGCAUGUACAGGGCAACCAGGAUUAUAGCAUGUCUUUGGAUAAUGUUCUUAGGAAUAAGCACAAAAAAAUUGCCGGCUCAGUUCCCACAGAGAUAUGAGCCUAACUUGGAACAUAUCACUUGUUCUACCUGCUCCUGUAUUUUCCAAUAGACAUCUGAAGGAAGGAGGGAAGCAAACUAGUUCAGAAAAAGCAGGCAUAAGUAUAUGUUGGUGAUUUUGAUGCCAGGCUAGUGGAAAGAACCAAGACUUUUUUAACCCUCUAAAGUUCUUUCAGGUCAUGAACUCUGUCAGCAGCAGCUACC
Long non-coding RNA from Pezoporus occidentalis (night parrot), 561 nucleotides. RefSeq lists it as uncharacterized. The transcript has 4 exons. The record is from RefSeq and is a predicted model, not a curated record. Lineage: Eukaryota; Metazoa; Chordata; Aves; Psittaciformes; Psittacidae.